This 499-nucleotide ribosomal RNA is filed under the name uncultured bacterium. RNAcentral's name for it is "partial 16S ribosomal RNA". It matches the Rfam family "Bacterial small subunit ribosomal RNA", at positions 28 to 507 of the family's 1533-position model. The record is from RNAcentral.
GAUGAACGCUGGCGGCGUGCCUAAUACAUGCAAGUCGAGCGAACAGACGAGAGUGCUUGCACUCUCUGACGUUAGCGGCGGACGGGUGAGUAACACGUGGGUAACCUACCUAUAAGACUGGGAUAACUUCGGGUAACCGGAGCUAAUACCGGAUAAUAUUUAGCUUCGCAUGAAGCAAUAGUGAAAGACGGUUCUGCUGUCACUUAUAGAUGGACCCGCGGUGUAUUAGCUAGUUGGUGAGGUAACGGCUCACCAAGGCAACGAUACAUAGCCGACCUGAGAGGGUGAUCGGCCACACUGGGACUGAGACACGGCCCAGACUCCUACGGGAGGCAGCAGUAGGGAAUCUUCCGCAAUGGACGAAAGUCUGACGGAGCAAUGCCGCGUGAGUGAAGAAGGUUUUCGGAUCGUAAAACUCUGUUGUAAGGGAAGAACAAGUACGUUAGUAACUGAACGUACCUUGACGGUACCUUACCAGAAAGCCACGGCUAACUACGUG